UACAGAGGGUGCAAGCGUUAAUCGGAGUUACUGGGCGUAAAGGGCGCGUAGGCGGUUAUUUAAGUUAGAUGUGAAAUCCCUGGGCUUAACCUAGGAACUGCAUCUAAUACUGGGUAACUGGAGUAUUGUAGAGGGUAGUGGAAUUUCCGGUGUAGCGGUGAAAUGCGUAGAGAUCGGAAGGAACACCAGUGGCGAAGGCGGCUACCUGGACAAAUACUGACGCUGAGGCGCGAAAGCGUGGGGAGCAAACAGG
RNAcentral lists this ribosomal RNA (253 nucleotides) under uncultured bacterium. RNAcentral describes it as "partial 16S ribosomal RNA". It matches the Rfam family "Bacterial small subunit ribosomal RNA", at positions 524 to 776 of the family's 1533-position model. The record is from RNAcentral.